Molecule: long non-coding RNA, 2776 nt
Filed under: Lathyrus oleraceus (garden pea)
Lineage: Eukaryota; Viridiplantae; Streptophyta; Magnoliopsida; Fabales; Fabaceae
Description: Pisum sativum (pea) long non-coding RNA (PSAT_LNC033340)
Source: RNAcentral
UGAAGGUUUAUGCUAAAGGUUCAUGAGGUGGUUAUAUGAUGACAAUGCUUUCUAUGAUUUUAAGUUUUACUGAAAAAAUCAUACAUGAAAUCGUAUUGGGGGAGGCUUUUUUUUGUCUUGUUUUUGUGUCUUUAGUGUAAGAAAUUUAGGUUUAUAGAGUGUUAGAAAUUAGGUUUAGACUUAAGUCUGAUUGUGUUGUUUAAGAAACUUUCGAUGAAAUAUGUAAUUUAGAGCUCAAGUUUGUGUAGAUUAGGAAUAUUCAAAAUGUAAUAGAAUUCAUGUAGUAAUGAAAAAGAUUUGGUUAUACCUUUGUUAAUAUUAUUGAUUUUAAAAAAAUAAUUGAUGAUUUAAAAAUAAAAAAAUUUAAAAAGUACCUAAUUAAAAAAGGAAAAUAAUAUUAAAAUAAUUUUAAAAAGUCAACAUUUGAUUUUUGUUGACGUUUGGUCUUUUAAUACAAAUAAGAAAUAAAAAGUAAUAUUAUGGGGUUCAAACCUGCAACCUUGCACCUGUGUCUCUGCCCAACUACCGAUUAAGCUGACUUACAUUUUUUAUUUUUUUGAUGGUCUAAAAAAUAAUAAAUACGUGAGCAAAAGUUAAGGUACGACACUUACAAUUUUCAAUGAUGAAAUCAUUAAAGAGUGGAUUAAGCUCAAGCGAUGACGAAGAAGUCGAAGCAUUAUAAAUCUAGUGUAAAUUUUUCUUCUCCCUACCUCUUUUACAUUUUUACAUAAUAUUACAUAAUAUUGUAUGUUGUUAACUAGUUUAUCUUUUAGAAUAUUACGAUAUCUAGAGUUUUUCUCUGCUCAUAAUAUUUAUCAAAUAAGUUUAGAUUUGUGAUGUAUCAUAAUUAUAAAGACCUUUAUUUUUGGAUUUUAUCAACCUUGAUAUAGAUCAAAUUUGAGUCAUGCACUAAAUUGAAUUAUGAUCAUUGUGUAAUUGUGUGUCAAAGCAACUUAAUGUAUUUCAGUUAUGUUGGUUUUUGAUUGUCUUAUGUAGUUUUGAUCUACAUUGAAAUAAAGAGUUUUUCAAAUCAUUUUUUAUGUUUUUGUUUCCGCCUAUCAUAUAUUUUUAUUAAACUCUAAUUAUGUAAAUGGUUUAAGAGGUUUGGUAUAUUCAACCCUCAUUUGGACAAUUUAAUCUCCAUAUUCUCUACCAACACGAGCAUCAUAAGUGCCAUGUGUGACGACUAAGUGCUACCUUUUGAAACAAGAGAUAUUUAGGACAAGGCCGAAACCCCAAUGAAUAAAUCAUAUUUUAAUACGCUGACGAAGGAGUUCCCACCAGCCUCUAGACAAGAGCAACACCAUGAAUUUUAACAAAUGGAGUAGGGUCAAUAAGCUCCCCUACCUCCUUAUUCAUCCUUUACCAUGGGAUUCAUGAAAUGGGCAGAUGAUUUACCUGCAAGACUACACGCUUAUCCCUAGUCAUGGAUCCCUAAUUGUGAGCAUCUAUAAUGAAAUAUUAGAGGAUGAACUUGACGGUUUUAAGCGAUUUGUGACAAGGGAAAAUAUGUAAGCCUUUUGCAAGAUUAGCGAUAUUUGUUAACAAUUGACGAGAUUUAUUUUCUCUUUUUCUUUUUUGUAUAAUUGGUAAGUUUAAUGAAGGAGGAAUGGCGAACCAUGAUCUUUUCCCUCCCAAUAACAACCCAGACCAUAUGUGAUUCAUACGUCUCACUCUGAUUUUAUUAUUCUAUCUUAGUGUUUUUUUUUUCAUUUAUUGUAUUUGUAUCGGUCUUUAUGAGUAGUACUCACAAUAUCUAAUUGAUAACCAUUUCCAUUCUACUUAAUGACACUCAAAAACUUUGUAAUAAUAAAUGACAUCUAUUGUGAUUUUUAUGUAUCCGAGAAAGUAACCUAUUUUAAAACUAGAGAGGAGGUGCGUUUUCAAUUUUAUAAUAGACUUCGUUAAUUGAUCUUAACAAAGAUGUGCAUAAUUUAAAGAAGAAAAUAUAGAGAAUCCAAUGAUCAUCAAUUUGGUUGUUCUUUAACCACAACAUUACAUUAGAGUAUGACUGAAGUAGUAACAAAAGAGACAUUCAUAUAUAUGUGUAUUGAUGUAUUUCAUAUAUUUAAAUAUAUUAAAGAUCUAAUGUUGAAGCAAAAAAUAAUCAAUAUCAUAAUAUAUUUAUUAAAGUAUCUCAUUAUAAUUUGAGAUAACUUGUAUAAGCAAACUAAGAUAAGAAUACUUGCAUUAUAGUAUAUAAAUAUUCGUUUUAGUUUAUCAUAAAAUUUGGAAGGCAAGAGAAAUAUAAAUAGUAAUUUAAAAGUAAAUUAUAAAGUAGAAACUUUACUUUAUGAGCACGAAUAAAAUUGUAUGCUUAGAGCUGAUGCUAUAAUUAUUUGUAGACUUAAUCCUCUGCUAUCAAUCUAUAUUGACAAAAAUUGUCAAUGCACCUCAUAACUAGAGGGAAGGUCUUCUCCGGACAAUCAGUAUGUUCAAAGCAAGAAAUGCGAAGAGGACCACGACGGCGACCUGCAUUGUAGAAGAAAUAAAAGAAAAAUGAAUGUUUAUAAAAAGGGGAUAAUUAUAAGAAUAAUUUUAAAAUGGGAAAGGGGACAUACGACUACUGGUUACAACAAGAAAUAAAGAAAGAAAUAUGACAAGAGCAUGAACAAACAUGAGAAUUUGAGCCAUAUUUUUCCUCCUUAACAUGUAAUAAAUAUGAUUAUUUUGUGUGUUUUAUAGUAAAAUUUCAUUCUUUGUCAACUUCAAUUAAUUAGUUUUUAGCACUUACAACUUGCAAGAAGCCAUAUAUAAAAUUGGAGUUAGUAUUAAA